This 465-nucleotide ribosomal RNA is filed under the name Vreelandella stevensii. RNAcentral describes it as "partial 16S ribosomal RNA". It matches the Rfam family "Bacterial small subunit ribosomal RNA", at positions 338 to 795 of the family's 1533-position model. The record is from RNAcentral. Lineage: Bacteria; Pseudomonadati; Pseudomonadota; Gammaproteobacteria; Oceanospirillales; Halomonadaceae.
CCUACGGGGUGCAGCAGUGGGGAAUAUUGGACAAUGGGGGCAACCCUGAUCCAGCCAUGCCGCGUGUGUGAAGAAGGCCCUCGGGUUGUAAAGCACUUUCAGUGAGGAAGAACGCCUGGUGGUUAAUACCCAUCAGGAAAGACAUCACUCACAGAAGAAGCACCGGCUAACUCCGUGCCAGCAGCCGCGGUAAUACGGAGGGUGCGAGCGUUAAUCGGAAUUACUGGGCGUAAAGCGCGCGUAGGUGGCUUGAUAAGCCGGUUGUGAAAGCCCCGGGCUCAACCUGGGAACGGCAUCCGGAACUGUCAAGCUAGAGUGCAGGAGAGGAAGGUAGAAUUCCCGGUGUAGCGGUGAAAUGCGUAGAGAUCGGGAGGAAUACCAGUGGCGAAGGCGGCCUUCUGGACUGACACUGACACUGAGGUGCGAAAGCGUGGGUAGCAAACAGGAUUAGAUACCCCUGUAGUC